AUGUUUAAUUAUUGUCUUUUGCAUUUGAAACCACAAGAAUUUGUUCACAAGUCUUAAAUAAUCAACAAAUCAUAUAACUAACUAGGCCGUGAGUCCUUUGGGAGAACGAUACUUGGUCUUACCGAGUUUAUUACUUGAUACGAUUCAGUCACACUUGCCGAGGGUUAAACAAGUUUUUGGUUCUGUUUUUCGGUGUUCAUAAAUUUUUCAUCACGCUGUCGGCGGGUCGGGUUGUUUCGGAAUGCAGCCCCAAUCGGGCGGUAACUUUCGUCCAAGGCUAAAUACUAACAAGAGACCGAUAGCGAACAAGUACCGCGGGGGAAAGAUGAAUAGGACUUUGAAAAGAGAUUCAAAGUGUGGUUGAAAUUGUCGGGAGGGAAGCGGAUGAGAGUCGACGAUGUUUCUCGGCCGGAUGUGGAACAGUCCUAACUAGUCUGCCGAUCGACUCGAGAUAUGAACGACACAGAUUGUGACGGUGGCCCAAGCCUGGGCUGUUGAAAUGCUCGUGGACACGUCAUCAUUGCGAUUGUGGACGACAACACGCGCUGUUAGGCGUGUCUCAGCACGUGCGUGCUCCAAGAGUCGGCCUGUGGGCUCCCCAUUCGUCCCGUCUUGAAACACGGACCAAGGAGUCUAACAUGUGUGCGAGUCAAUGGGUGAGUAAACCCGUAAGGUGUAAGGAAGCUGAUUGGUGGGAUCCCCUUGUGGGUUACACCACCGAACGACCCUGAUCUUCUGUGAAGGGUUCGAGUGAGAGCAUACUUGUCGGGGCCCGAAAGAUGGUGAAUUAUGCCUGAGCGGGGCGAAGCCAGAGGAAACUCUGGUGGAGGCCCGCAGCGAUACUAACGUGGCAAAUCGUUCGUCUGACUUGGGUAUAGGGGCGAAAGACUAAUCGGACCGUCUAGUAGCUGGUUCCCUCCGAUGUUUCCCUCAGGAUAGCUAGAGCUCGCGGGCAAGUUCUAUAGGGUAAAGACAAUGAUUAGAGGAAUUGGGGGCACAACGCCCUCGACCUAUUCUCAAACUUUAAAUAGGUAGGACCGUGCGACUACUCUGUUUUUGCCGUGCCACGGAGUCGAGAGCUCCAAGUGGGGCAUUUUUGGUAAGGAGAACUGGCGAUGUGGGAUGAACCGAAAGCUGGGUCACGGUGCCCAACUGCACGCUAACCUAGACCCCACAAAGGGUGUUGGUUGAUUAAGAUAGUAGGAUGGUGGUCAUGGAAGUCGAAAUCCACUAAGGAGUGUGUAACAACUCACCUUCCGAAUCAACUAGCCCCAAAAAUGGAACUCGGUCGUCGGGGCAAGGACCAAGCCCCGAUUAGUAGGAGGGUGCGGCGGUCGCUGCAAAACCCAGGGCAUGAGCUCGGGCGGAGCGGUCGUCGGUGCAGAUCUUUGGUGGUAGUAGAAAAUAUUCGAAUGAGAACUUUAAAGGCCGAAGAGGGGAAAGGUUCCAUGUGAACGACACUUGCACAUGGGUUAGUCGAUCCUAAGGGACGGGGGAAGCCCGUCUGAUAGCGCUUUUAGCACGUACUUUGACAGGGAAUCGGGGUUAAAAUUCCUGAACCGGGACGUGGCGACUGACGACAACGUUAAGGAGACCGGAGACGUCGGCGAGGGCCCUGAAAAGAGUUAUCUUUUCUGUUUAAUAGCUUGCCCACCCAGGAAACGGCUCAACCAGAGGUAGGGUCCAGCGACUGGAAGAGACCGCACAUCGCGUGGUGUCCGUUGCGCCCCCCGGCGGCCCUUGGAAAUCCAGAGGACCGAGUGGCUCCCACGCCCAGUCAUACUCAUAACCGCAUCAGGUCUCCAAGGUGAACAACCUCUGGUCGAAGGAACAAUGUAGGCAAGAGAAGUCGGCAAAAUGGAUCUGUAACCUCGGGAAAAGGAUUGGCUCUAAGGGCUGGGCACGGGGGCCCAGUCCCGAACCAGUCGUCUGUCGGUGGACUACUCGAGCUGCUCCCGCGGUGAGAUCGGGUCGUCGCGUGCCGGUCGGAGGACGGGUUGGGAACGGGCCCUUCGGGGCCUCUUCCCCAGGCGUCGAACAGUCGACUCAGAACUGGUACGGUCAAGGUGAUUCCGACUGUUUAAUUAAAAUAAAGCAUUGCGAUGGUCCCUGCGGAUGUUGAUAAGGAUAGAGAUGGAAUCAGAAAAGAACUCAAAAAGUGCAAAAGAAGAGAAGCCGUAAGUACCGCUCAGCGCCAGUUUACCGCUGAGCGGCACUCAAGAACACACGUUUCUUCGCUGAGGGGUUUAAGUGCAGCUGAGGGGAGAUUUGACUUUGCGUUGGUACCGCUGAGCGGCAGUUUACCGCUGAGCAGUGGGAUUUUGGGCUUAGGCCAACUUUUCUGUAAUAUUGCGAAUAGUAUGUAAGCUUUAGGACUUUCUAGCGUUUGUAUCUUUGGCUGGAGAAGACGCAAAACACACUUUUCACCCCUUGGGAUAGAAUUGGAGAUGGUGACGACUCUCCUCUUCUCUUUCUAGGGUUUUUCUAUCUUUCACUCUUUAAUUGUAUUUCAUCUAGUUUCACCAUGAAUAUGGUGAACUAAACUCUUCUUGUUGUUGGGGAAUCAAUGUAAUCUUUUCAAGCUCUCAUAUAUGGAAUUUUGUGUUUAAACAUAUAUCUAUGAUACAUGCUUUCUUUCAUCAUUAGUUAGGGUUUUUCUUCUUUUCACAAAGCCUCGGAGCGUCAUCUAUCAAGAAGUCAACACAUUUUGUGGCUUAUUUAAGGUGAAAUUGAAGUUUGACUUGGGUGCCAUGGUGACUCACGGCCAUGUGCUCUUUCUUUGGCCAAUUGGACUUUUAAAUUCAUUUGUUAAUUGCCAUUAUGACAAGUAAUUUGCUAGGAUUAAAUUAGGCUUGUUGGUUUCUUAUGUUUUUAAUUAAUUUAAUUAAUAGGUUGAGUUUAUGUGUUUGAGUUAGUGUUGCAUUUAAUUAUUUUUAACUGUGUUUGUUAAUUAGUUUGUAACAGUGUUUGAUGUUUGAAUGCUUUCUAAGGCUUUUAAUAGUGCUAGUUUAAUUACCAUGCUAGCUUAAAUUAGUUUGUUUGCCAUCUGUGUCUUUAUUGAGUUCUUUAAUUUUUGCCAAAACCUUUUCAAAACCCCCCCUUUCUU
RNAcentral lists this ribosomal RNA (3106 nucleotides) under Vigna angularis var. angularis. Its description in RNAcentral is "eukaryotic LSU rRNA". The stretch from base 1 to 2280 matches the Rfam family "Eukaryotic large subunit ribosomal RNA". The record is from RNAcentral. Lineage: Eukaryota; Viridiplantae; Streptophyta; Magnoliopsida; Fabales; Fabaceae.